UUUACCGCGAAAGAGACUGAUUAUUCCGCUGUUGUCAUGUUUAAGUAAAUAAGUUGGCAGGAAAAUAUACAGAAGAUGAUUCAGGAGAUUUGAAAGGAUGUUUAGCACCUCUUUGUGAUAAGCAGCAAUGAGUUCUCAUGGGUUGACCAACAUUAAAGCCCUGUGUUCUAACCAAGACCUCUUGCUUCAUGCCUGUCACUGGGGGAGCUACACACCUGUCAAAUCCCGGGCCGUGUACAUUUUGCACCACCCUCUGUUGGAGCCCCAUGCACUGUCAAUACGCCUCAACCAGGAUUCGAUUGAAGCAAAGUUGCAGCUGCACUGCAAGCUGGAACGCUGCGGUACGUUACCGAAUGAUCCACCAAACGCCUGACAGUGACACAGAGGGGGAGGAGAACCCCUACCGUCACCUGCUCCACACCUGGCCAGCCCAGCGACAACCCCGGAAGAGGCAACAACAGAGGUGACGUCACGAACCUGCAGCCGGUGGUGGCUGGUCCCCUUCAUGGGUGUGAGGACAUUGAGGGGGCCCUGGCGUACUCCGUCCGCUCCAUCAUCGACUCGAGGCGCCGGGUGGGGUGCCUCCAGUACCUCGUGGAGUGGGAGGGGUACGGCCCGGAGGAACGGAGCUGGGUUCCGGUGAGAGACAUCCUGGCUCUCGCCCUCCUGCGCGACUUCCAUCGCCCGGAUCGCCCUGCUCUGUGUUCCCCGGGUCGGCCCCAGGGCCGGUGUCGUUGGGGGGGUUGGUGCUGUAAUGACUGCGCCCUCUGCUGCCUCUCCUCCCCCUGCAGCAGGCAGGCUCCAGCGGUCGACGUCACCGGUCUUCUAACACCAUCGCCCGUCUCAUUCAUGCAUUUCCCCUGUUGUCUUGUUUAGCGCACCUGAUCCUCAUUCUAAUCAUUGCCCCCAGUAUAUAUGCUCCCUCUGCUUCCCGUGUCUUUGUGUUUUAUUGUCUCGCCUACCCAGAGCAUUAUCAGGCUACGCCACUAUUGUCACUAUUAAAACACAGUUCAACAGUACGACUUCGGAUUCCUGCUCCUCGUUCCUCCUCGAGCCUGACAUUCAGCAUUAUCCAACAACAUCUUGUUUUACCUGGGUUACUGGGGCCAAUAAUGACACAGCCGAAUGGGUGUUGAAGUUGCGGGUCAAAACCGCUAUCCAUCCUAGAAUGUGAUUUAGUACCCGUAAGGCCCUGUGCUGUAAUCAGGGAGCAGUACACACUUGUUGUACACAACUCUGAAAUGCUUAGACACUACUUGGUUUUUCAAUCUGAAUGUUGUUUUAUCUCUCACAAUUGUGUCUACAUUAGCAAGGACGUAAUCAUCAUCACCACCCUCGCCUCGUACAUAGUUAUCAACCAGUCGUGUUAGCGUCUCCAA
This is an RNA transcript of Esox lucius (northern pike), 1379 nucleotides long. RefSeq lists it as uncharacterized. The record is from RefSeq and is a predicted model, not a curated record. NCBI's taxonomy places the organism in Eukaryota, Metazoa, Chordata, Actinopteri, Esociformes, Esocidae. The transcript is spliced from 4 exons.